GAAGGUGUCCUGUGAGGGGUGCUGGAGGUAUCAGAAGUGCGAAUGCUGACAUAAGUAACGAUAAAGCGGGUGAAAAGCCCGCUCGCCGGAAGACCAAGGGUUCCUGUCCAACGUUAAUCGGGGCAGGGUGAGUCGACCCCUAAGGCGAGGCCGAAAGGCGUAGUCGAUGGGAAACAGGUUAAUAUUCCUGUACUUGGUGUUACUGCGAAGGGGGGACGGAGAAGGCUAUGUCAGCCGGGCGACGGUUGUCCCGGUUUAAGCAUGUAGGCGGAGGUUCCAGGUAAAUCCGGUACCUUGUUAACGCUGAGGUGUGAUGACGAGGCACUACGGUGCUGAAGUGAUAAAUGCCCUGCUUCCAGGAAAAGCCUCUAAGCAUCAGGUAACACGAAAUCGUACCCCAAACCGACACAGGUGGUCAGGUAGAGAAUACCAAGGCGCUUGAGAGAACUCGGGUGAAGGAACUAGGCAAAAUGGUGCCGUAACUUCGGGAGAAGGCACGCUGAUAUGUAGGUGAAGUCCCUGCGGACGGAGCUGAAAUCAGUCGAAGAUACCAGCUGGCUGCAACUGUUUAUUAAAAACACAGCACUGUGCAAACACGAAAGUGGACGUAUACGGUGUGACGCCUGCCCGGUGCCGGAAGGUUAAUUGAUGGGGUUAGCGGCAACGCGAAGCUCUUGAUCGAAGCCCCGGUAAACGGCGGCCGUAACUAUAACGGUCCUAAGGUAGCGAAAUUCCUUGUCGGGUAAGUUCCGACCUGCACGAAUGGCGUAAUGAUGGCCAGGCUGUCUCCACCCGAGACUCAGUGAAAUUGAACUCGCUGUGAAGAUGCAGUGUACCCGCGGCAAGACGGAAAGACCCCGUGAACCUUUACUAUAGCUUGACACUGAACACUGGUCCUUGAUGUGUAGGAUAGGUGGGAGGCUUUGAAGCGUGGACGCCAGUCUGCGUGGAGCCAACCUUGAAAUACCACCCUUUAAUGGCUGGUGUUCUAACGUAGACCCGUAAUCCGGGUUGCGGACAGUGUCUGGUGGGUAGUUUGACUGGGGCGGUCUCCUCCCAAAGAGUAACGGAGGAGCACGAAGGUUGGCUAAUCCUGGUCGGACAUCAGGAGGUUAGUGCAAUGGCAUAAGCCAGCUUGACUGCGAGCGUGACGGCGCGAGCAGGUGCGAAAGCAGGUCAUAGUGAUCCGGUGGUUCUGAAUGGAAGGGCCAUCGCUCAACGGAUAAAAGGUACUCCGGGGAUAACAGGCUGAUACCGCCCAAGAGUUCAUAUCGACGGCGGUGUUUGGCACCUCGAUGUCGGCUCAUCACAUCCUGGGGCUGAAGUAGGUCCCAAGGGUAUGGCUGUUCGCCAUUUAAAGUGGUACGCGAGCUGGGUUUAGAACGUCGUGAGACAGUUCGGUCCCUAUCUGCCGUGGGCGCUGGAGAAUUGAGGGGGGCUGCUCCUAGUACGAGAGGACCGGAGUGGACGCAUCACUGGUGUUCGGGUUGUCAUGCCAAUGGCACUGCCCGGUAGCUAAAUGCGGAAGAGAUAAGUGCUGAAAGCAUCUAAGCACGAAACUUGCCCCGAGAUGAGUUCUCCCUGAGACUUUAAGUCUCCUGAAGGAACGUUGAAGACGACGACGUUGAUAGGUCGGGUGUGUAAGCGCAGCGAUGCGUUGAGCUAACCGAUACUAAUGAACCGUGAGGCUUAACCUUACAACGCCGAAGCUGUU
RNAcentral lists this ribosomal RNA (1714 nucleotides) under Enterobacter hormaechei. Its description in RNAcentral is "partial 23S ribosomal RNA". It matches the Rfam family "Bacterial large subunit ribosomal RNA", at positions 1252 to 2925 of the family's 2925-position model. Lineage: Bacteria; Pseudomonadati; Pseudomonadota; Gammaproteobacteria; Enterobacterales; Enterobacteriaceae. The record is from RNAcentral.